RNAcentral lists this non-coding RNA (1320 nucleotides) under Hevea brasiliensis (rubber tree). Lineage: Eukaryota; Viridiplantae; Streptophyta; Magnoliopsida; Malpighiales; Euphorbiaceae. The record is from RNAcentral.
GCCUUUGCCAGUUCAACGCUGGCCAGCAAUAUAUAUAUAUAUAUAUAUAUAUAUAUAUAUAGUAAUAAUUGAAUGAGGUACUUAAUCGAGAUAUCGGCACCAUUAAGAUUACACCCAAUGUCUUUUUUUUUUUAAUUAAUUAUAAUAUAACUUGAUUACCAAUUUUCUGUUACAAAAUUUGAAAUAGUUAUGGUUAAGCCAAGAUAUUUUCUGUAAUGGGAGGGACUAGUAUGCCAAUUUAAUUGAUUUGCAUUAAAUGAGAUGGAAAAGACUUGAUUACUUGGGAUCCCUAUUUAAUUUGAAUUUAUUUAUAAAUAAAUUAUAAUUAGAGCUUAUUCUAAAUGAAUAUUCUAUAUUUUUAAGAAGUAAGAAUUUUAAAAAAAUUAUACAAUUUAAAUUAUAAUUUAAUAUUAAAUAUAAAUAUAAAUAACUUAAUCUUAUAUUAUAUAAUAAAAAUAAGAUUUAUGUAAUAUAAUGUUUAUUUUUGUAAUUUUUCCAUUAGUCAAUUAAUCUUAGCGUCUAUUAAACUACUAUUUAAAAUUUUCAUUUAAAAAAUAUAUUAUUUAAAUUUCUUAAUUUUAAUUUAUUAAAUUAUUUAAUUAUCAAAAUAAAAAAUAUUAUUAUUUAAUCUUUAUAUUUUAAUAAAAUAUAUUAUUUAAUUUAGUUUAAAAUUAAUUAUUUAAUUUUAUCAUUUAAAUUUAAUUAGUUUAAAAUUAAUUUAAUUUUACAUGUUUAGUUUAAAAUUUUUAAUUUUAAUUUCUAAAUUUAAUUCUAUCAAAAGUGGCUAUGGGUAUAUUUUUUAUUGGAAUGAAUUCCAUAAAGUUUAGUAAAUUUUAAUUAUUAAUGGGCAGGUGAAAGACUUGUGCUUUGGUUCUGGACCUUACAAGUGCGGUAGAUUUGAAAAAGAAAAAGCAUAGUAUUUGGAUUAAUUUACCUGUUCAUGUUAUCUGAUCGAUGUGGAUACGUUGGUGAUGGCUUUUCCUUGUUUUAUUUAGUUUAGUGUUUGGCGCUUAUAAAAAACGGUGAUAGUUGUGGCCUCUGAAUUUCUUUCUGGUCAUGGCUUAAAUUUCAGCUCAACGAAUGUGGAAAUUUGGAUAACACUAUUUCCGCAUAGACAGAGACCGAGUACCAGCGAGUAAAGGUUUCUCCCUUUCCCAUCGAGCUUAUGUAUAUGUUCAAUAAGAGUAGUGCCCAUUUUCUAACUUAAACCAGUCUGUGAUUGAGGUCGUUCCCAUGCCACCCAUUUCUAUUGUUUCUGGGCUGAUAUGGAAUGGGAGAAUGAGCCUCCCAGAGGCGAGUGGAAAUGGGUGGAUGGGAGUG